AUACGGAGGAUGCGAGCGUUAUCCGGAUUUAUUGGGUUUAAAGGGAGCGUAGGUGGGAUAUUAAGUCAGCUGUGAAAGUUUGGGGCUCAACCUUAAAAUUGCAGUUGAUACUGGUUUCCUUGAGUACGGUAUAGGUGGGCGGAAUUCGUGGUGUAGCGGUGAAAUGCUUAGAUAUCACGAAGAACUCCGAUCGCGAAGGCAGCUCACCGGGCCGGAACUGACACUGAUGCUCGAAAGUGCGGGUAUCAAACAGGAUUAGAUACCCUGGUAGUCCGCACAGUAAACGAUGAAUACUCGCUGUUUGCGAUACACUGUAAGCGGCCAAGCGAAAGCGUUAAGUAUUCCCCCUGGGGAGUUCGCCGGCAACGGUGAAACUCAAAUGAAUUGACGGGG
RNAcentral lists this ribosomal RNA (393 nucleotides) under uncultured bacterium. Its description in RNAcentral is "partial 16S ribosomal RNA". It matches the Rfam family "Bacterial small subunit ribosomal RNA", at positions 523 to 918 of the family's 1533-position model. The record is from RNAcentral.